GGGGAUAUAGCUCAGUGGUAGAGCGCUUGCCUAGGAAGCGCAAGGCCCUGGGUUCAGUCCCCAGCUCCG
Non-coding RNA from Rattus norvegicus (Norway rat), 69 nucleotides. Lineage: Eukaryota; Metazoa; Chordata; Mammalia; Rodentia; Muridae. The record is from Rfam.